RNAcentral lists this ribosomal RNA (459 nucleotides) under uncultured bacterium. RNAcentral describes it as "partial 16S ribosomal RNA". It matches the Rfam family "Bacterial small subunit ribosomal RNA", at positions 338 to 795 of the family's 1533-position model. The record is from RNAcentral.
CCUACGGGAGGCAGCAGUGAGGAAUAUUGGUCAAUGGGCGCGAGCCUGAACCAGCCAAGUCGCGUGAGGGAAGACGGUCCUAUGGAUUGUAAACCUCUUUUGUCGGGGAGCAAAAGACGCCACGCGUGGCGUUCCGCGAGUACCCGAAGAAAAAGCAUCGGCUAACUCCGUGCCAGCAGCCGCGGUAAUACGGAGGAUGCGAGCGUUAUCCGGAUUUAUUGGGUUUAAAGGGUGUGCAGGCGGAAGAUCAAGUCAGCGGUAAAAUUGAGAGGCUCAACCUCUUCGAGCCGUUGAAACUGGUUUUCUUGAGUGAGUGAGAAGUAGGCGGAAUGCGUUGUGUAGCGGUGAAAUGCAUAGAUAUCACGCAGAACUCCGAUUGCGAAGGCAGCAUACCGGCGCGCAACUGACGCUCAUGCACGAAAGUGUGGGUAUCGAACAGGAUUAGAUACCCGGAUAGUC